Molecule: ribosomal RNA, 545 nt
Filed under: Triticum aestivum (bread wheat)
Lineage: Eukaryota; Viridiplantae; Streptophyta; Magnoliopsida; Poales; Poaceae
Description: partial small subunit ribosomal RNA
Source: RNAcentral
GUAUAUAUAAACUACUGAGGUUACGCUCCUAACGGAAGGCAAACUGGCCGCUUGCACAAGUCUGUGGCACUCUUCAUCUCCUGCCAUGGCACGUUCCUUGGCAAUCCUUGUUAUCAUAUUCAUAUGCUGCUCCCUGCCAUGCUCAAUGGCCAAACAAGUUCAUCUAGAUGGAAGCCGUCCGAGUUUUGGUCCUCCGUCACCGCAGGGUGCGAACCCGCAUGGCUGUGUUGGUAGAUGCAAUAACGGGCGUCCAGACACCACAUCUCCGACGACGGCAGCCCUUACACCGCACCGCAAGACCCUGCAGCAGGCUAUUCUAGAUUGAUAUGUGUAUAUAUGACACAUGCAAGUGUUCCGCUAGAGUCUUGGAAAGUUUACCAUUGACUAUUGCGUACACUUUUUGUCAGGGGUGUCUGGAAAUGAUUACGAAGAUGGUGUAUGACAGUAAAUAAAUAUGAGGAUGGCUGUACUGUUUUUAUAUAUUAUAUAAUUGUGAACUCUAAUUAAUCAGUGUAUUGCAUGAAUAAACUGUCUAUUUAGUGCUC